This 467-nucleotide ribosomal RNA is filed under the name uncultured bacterium. RNAcentral's name for it is "partial 16S ribosomal RNA". It matches the Rfam family "Bacterial small subunit ribosomal RNA", at positions 28 to 507 of the family's 1533-position model. The record is from RNAcentral.
GACGAACGCUGGCGGCGUGCUUAACACAUGCAAGUCGAACGAUGACGCCCGAGCUUGCUCGGUCUGAUUAGUGGCGAACGGGUGAGUAACACGUGAGCAACCUGCCCUUCACUCUGGGAUAACCUCGGGAAAUCGGGGCUAAUACCGGAUAUGAGCUCCUGUCGCAUGGCGGGUGUUGGAAAGUUUUUCGGUGAAGGAUGGGCUCGCGGCCUAUCAGUUUGUUGGUGGGGUAGUGGCUCACCAAGGCGAUGACGGGUAGCCGGCCUGAGAGGGCGACCGGCCACACUGGGACUGAGACACGGCCCAGACUCCUACGGGAGGCAGCAGUGGGGAAUAUUGCACAAUGGGCGAAAGCCUGAUGCAGCGACGCCGCGUGAGGGAUGACGGCCUUCGGGUUGUAAACCUCUUUCAGCAGGGAAGAAGCGAAAGUGACGGUACCUGCAGAAGAAGCGCCGGCUAACUACGUG